AAGUCGUAACAAGGUAACCGUAGGUGAACCUGCGGUUGGAUCAUUAACAAAUCCAACUUUGCGCUUCUUAGCGCAUCCAACAUUUUGUGCACUGUAAUUGUCUUUGGCGGGUUGUGUUGCUUGCUUGAGAUGGGGAAAUUUCCUCAGCUCACAAGACGUCUGUCGUAUGCCAAUCAUGGUGACAGCCAGCCCGUCCGUCACUCCUACACCAAGGUUUGGCAACAACUAAACGCAAUGAAUUUUUUUUCUAUAUCUGAAUCCUUUCCACGAAAGCGGAAUUGUAUAUUAUAAUUAAAAACAACUUUUGACAACGGAUCUCUUGGCUCUU
RNAcentral lists this unclassified non-coding RNA (328 nucleotides) under fungal sp. RNAcentral's name for it is "partial internal transcribed spacer region". The stretch from base 1 to 46 matches the Rfam family "Eukaryotic small subunit ribosomal RNA", at positions 1786 to 1831 of the family's 1831-position model. Lineage: Eukaryota; Fungi. The record is from RNAcentral. RNAcentral also lists the same sequence under 1 other name.